This is a non-coding RNA of Aedes aegypti (yellow fever mosquito), 111 nucleotides long. Lineage: Eukaryota; Metazoa; Arthropoda; Insecta; Diptera; Culicidae. The record is from Rfam.
UGCCCAGCAACUCCUAUCCCUACCUCCUCGUGGUACUGGCCGGGGUACGAGUAACAUUUGGGAAGAUCGGGUAACCAACCCCGAACUUUGGUCGUAUGCUGACAGGGAAGG